CGGGGUCUAAUACUGGAUAUUGACAUGAUCCCGCAUGGGGUGGUGUUGAAAGAUUUAUUGGUUUUGGAUGGACUCGCGGCCUAUCAGCUUGUUGGUGAGGUAAUGGCUCACCAAGGCGACGACGGGUAGCCGGCCUGAGAGGGUGACCGGCCACACUGGGACUGAGACACGGCCCAGACUCCUACGGGAGGCAGCAGUGGGGAAUAUUGCACAAUGGGCGAAAGCCUGAUGCAGCGACGCCGCGUGAGGGAUGACGGCCUUCGGGUUGUAAACCUCUUUCAGUAGGGAACAAGGCCAGUCGUUGAUUGGUUGAGGGUACUUGCAGAAGAAGCGCCGGCUAACUACGUGCCAGCAGCCGCGGUAAUACGUAGGGCGCAAGCGUUAUCCGGAAUUAUUGGGCGUAAAGAGCUCGUAGGCGGUUUGUCGCGUCUGCCGUGAAAGUCCGGGGCUCAACCCCGGAUCUGCGGUGGGUACGGGCAGACUAGAGUGAUGUAGGGGAGACUGGAAUUCCUGGUGUAGCGGUGAAAUGCGCAGAUAUCAGGAGGAACACCGAUGGCGAAGGCAGGUCUCUGGGCAUUAACUGACGCUGAGGAGCGAAAGCAUGGGGAGCGAACAGGAUUAGAUACCCUGGUAGUCCAUGCCGUAAACGUUGGGCACUAGGUGUGGGGGACAUUCCACGUUUUCCGCGCCGUAGCUAACGCAUUAAGUGCCCCGCCUGGGGAGUA
Molecule: ribosomal RNA, 725 nt
Filed under: Arthrobacter sp.
Lineage: Bacteria; Bacillati; Actinomycetota; Actinomycetes; Micrococcales; Micrococcaceae
Description: bacterial SSU rRNA
Rfam family: Bacterial small subunit ribosomal RNA
Source: RNAcentral